Molecule: small nuclear RNA, 104 nt
Organism: Grammomys surdaster
Lineage: Eukaryota; Metazoa; Chordata; Mammalia; Rodentia; Muridae
Source: RefSeq, a predicted model, not a curated record
GUGCUUACUUCAGCAGCACAUAUACUAAAAUUCAAAUGAUACAGAUAUUAACAUUGGCCCUGCUCAAAGAAGAUGUACAAAUUUGGAAAGUGUUCCACAUUACU